GACGAACGCUGGCGGCGUGCUUAACACAUGCAAGUCGAACGGUGAAGCGCCUUCCUUUUUGGUGGGUGUGGAUGAGUGGCGAACGGGUGAGUAACACGUGAGUAACCUGCCCCCUUCUUCUGGAUAACCGCAUGAAAGUGUGGCUAAUACGGGAUAUUCUGGGUCUGUCGCAUGAUGGGUCUGGGAAAGAUAUUGUUUCGGUGGGGGAUGGGCUCGCGGCCUAUCAGCUUGUUGGUGGGGUGAUGGCCUACCAAGGCGGUGACGGGUAGCCGGCCUGAGAGGGUGGACGGUCACACUGGGACUGAGACACGGCCCAGACUCCUACGGGAGGCAGCAGUGGGGAAUAUUGCACAAUGGGCGCAAGCCUGAUGCAGCGACGCCGCGUGAGGGAUGGAGGCCUUCGGGUUGUGAACCUCUUUCGCCAGUGAAGCAGGCCUGCCUCGUUUGUGGCUGGGUUGACGGUAGCUGGAUAAGAAGCGCCGGCUAACUACGUG
This 494-nucleotide ribosomal RNA is filed under the name uncultured bacterium. RNAcentral's name for it is "partial 16S ribosomal RNA". It matches the Rfam family "Bacterial small subunit ribosomal RNA", at positions 28 to 507 of the family's 1533-position model. The record is from RNAcentral.